UAGCUCAGUGGUAGAGCAUUGGCUGUAAAAGCUAAAGAUAAUGGGUUCGAUCCCCAA
RNAcentral lists this transfer RNA (57 nucleotides) under Daphnia magna. It matches the Rfam family "tRNA", at positions 8 to 63 of the family's 71-position model. Rfam says of the family: Transfer RNA (tRNA) molecules are approximately 80 nucleotides in length. Their secondary structure includes four short double-helical elements and three loops (D, anti-codon, and T loops). Further hydrogen bonds mediate the characteristic L-shaped molecular structure. tRNAs have two regions of fundamental functional importance: the anti-codon, which is responsible for specific mRNA codon recognition, and the 3' end, to which the tRNAs corresponding amino acid is attached (by aminoacyl-tRNA synthetases). tRNAs cope with the degeneracy of the genetic code in two manners: having more than one tRNA (with a specific anti-codon) for a particular amino acid; and 'wobble' base-pairing, i.e. permitting non-standard base-pairing at the 3rd anti-codon position. The record is from Rfam by way of RNAcentral. Lineage: Eukaryota; Metazoa; Arthropoda; Branchiopoda; Diplostraca; Daphniidae.